Molecule: long non-coding RNA, 1495 nt
Organism: Brassica napus (rape)
Lineage: Eukaryota; Viridiplantae; Streptophyta; Magnoliopsida; Brassicales; Brassicaceae
Exons: 2
Source: RefSeq, a predicted model, not a curated record
ACUUAUGUUCUCCCUAGUGCUGCAAGGGAGCCACAAUGAUGUAUCAAGAUGUGGCUGCUGGUUAGCCGAAACUGGAUGGCCCUAUAUUACAUAUAGUGUCCUAUGGGUCACCCCUCUAUGUGUUAGAUUUCCUUUGUUGAACCAUUUAUGUUGUAACCCAUCUUUGUAUUAUAUUGUUAUGUCUUAAGCACUUAGCAGCUAUAAAUUUCUUUGUCGUAUGCAUGUCAUCGCUAUCUAUAACUUCUAUUAAUAGUCACAAGUAGCUUUGGUACCUCAAGUAUUAUGGUUGUCGAAUAAUUUGUAUCAUGUUAGUACCAAUACGUCAAGUUGUCUGAAAAUAUAAUUUAUGUUCACAACACUAAUUUAUCAAUCUGGAAAGUACUGAUGAUCUUUCUUAUCUACUUAAUUAGUUAUUUGAAAGUGAAAUUUGUACCACAUACACCUACAUUAAUAUAAUCAAGUGUAUCCAGUAAUUUUUUAUCUUUGUCUAUAUUGUUAUAAACCACUAUUAGAUAUAUAUUAUUAACAACUUUGUUCCAGCAUUGUAGCUAAUUUUUAAGUCUUCCAAUUUCUCGUACCACCUAUCUAUAUAAGUUAAAAAUGACAUUUGUAUUGUAGUCAUAAUGACUCAAGUUAUAUUAACUCUUCCACAUAAUAGAUAAAAAUAAUUUUAUCCACUAACAUUUAACUGAAGAAGCUAUUUCACAUAUUAACAACAAUUUAUAUCACUAGGCGUUAACAGAUUAGUUAAAAGCCUUUAAUAAAUAAAUAUACAUGAUGCGUAUACAGUUACCAUCAACAUAUAUGUAUAUUUUCAGCAACAAGCCUAAUCGGUAGUCUGCCAUAAGAUAUUUUCAACCAAAUAUGGCAAAAUCUUCUACAGUCUAUAGUAUGAUUCAUGAAAUAAUAUGUGGUGUAAAAUCAACCAACAAGCAAAACUAUAUCUGAACAGAAACCUAUCAUAUAUCUAGACCAUAUCCCUCGACCACUUACGGCUGUACUAUAAUUGUCAACGUGGCCAAGCAAAAAUGAUAGAAUCGGAAACACGAGAAAAUAGCUACAGAAAAAUUGAGUUUUUCACGCAUAUGGAUAUAGCUCUUACCGAGUACAUGGGAAAAGAAGAGAGAAUGACAAGAAAUGUGUUUGAAUUAUAAGAUUAAGGUUGUAGUCAACGCUUGAGUUUUGCCACAUAGAGUAAGGAGCAGUGAAAGGGAAUCAUAGGUAGACGGAGGUGAGUAGGUAGGAGGUGUGAACCACAUUUUCGGUGGAGAGAUCGGAUUUGGCGGAGAAUCACAACGUCGGUGGCCUUGCCGAGACACCAAAUAGGAAUUGUAUGUUGUUUUGGAAUGAAAGGUAAUAUUUAGAAUAGUCAUACUUAUAAAGUUAUAUCCGGCUAAACUACCAUUUUAAUCAUAUACAUUAAGAUUUGUUAAAAAGCUAAUUCUAUGUUAGCCAAACACGUAAAUCUAAUCAUAUUUUUGUGAUUUAUUAGACA